This 960-nucleotide long non-coding RNA is filed under the name Pongo abelii (Sumatran orangutan). RNAcentral's name for it is "lincRNA". The record is from RNAcentral. Lineage: Eukaryota; Metazoa; Chordata; Mammalia; Primates; Hominidae.
CAAAGAGACACGCACACUCUGAGUUUCUAAGAGUAAGUCACUGUCAGUUCCUGGUGUGAGCCACCUGCCACAUGGACACAGUUUCCUCUUUCUGAUGGCAAUGUUUUCUUCCAAAUUGUUCUGCACGUUUUUGGCGAGAGCAUGAGGCUGUGCAGCGUCCCCUCCCUGGCGCCCGCCUGUGCCCUGCACAUUGGCCUACACUGCGGUGAUCUCACUUGGCCCCCCCCUGAUUCCCGACAUACAGCAGCGGAAGCUGAGGCUCCGGGGGAACAGCCUCAACUGAUUCUGUCCCUGAACUUCCAUACACAGCCCGGGAGUUGUCUUAGAGUCAUGAUUUAUUUAACUGUUCUUUCAUUUUACAGAACAUAAAAUGUAUUGUUUCCAACUUUUUUCCUAUGGUAAAUAAUGCUAAAGUAAAUAUCUCUGUGCAUGAAACUUUUUGUAUAUGUUGGAAUAUCCUUAAGAUAAGGCCCCAGAACUAAAAGUACCCUGUCAAAGAGUGAGCAUUUCCGGUUCUCCUGCUGUGCUUUGCUGCAACGUUCUCACUCCACAUUCCUGGGGCAGGUAGGGGAGGGCCAGCUGGGUUUGGAUCAUAAUCCUGAAAGACACAAUCCCAAACACCAUAAUCUCGAAUGUUGAAAUCCCUAAAGAUCAAAAUCCCUAAAGUCUAAAAUCUCUGAUAUUUCAGAUGACCACAGUUACAGGGCUGUGUGCACACAAUUAGUAACCAUAGUGAUAUACACGUACACAUUUCUCUUUUGACUUAUUUCUUUAUGGUCUGUCUUCUUAUAACUGCUACACCCAUGCUGCUGUCGUUAGUUUCCUCAGUGUUUAUGCAAAAAUACCUAUGUUAUCAUUGCCUAUUUUAUUGUGUAAAGUGGCCUAUGAAAUGUUCUGUUGUGUUUUUAUGUUUCUCAAAUACAUACCUUUUAAAAAUGUAAAUAAAUAACAUUGACAUUA